RNAcentral lists this ribosomal RNA (301 nucleotides) under uncultured bacterium. Its description in RNAcentral is "partial 16S ribosomal RNA". It matches the Rfam family "Bacterial small subunit ribosomal RNA", at positions 509 to 807 of the family's 1533-position model. The record is from RNAcentral.
CAGUCGCCGCGGGAAUACGGAGGGUGCAAGCGUUAUCCGGAUUUAUUGGGUUUAAAGGGUCCGUAGGCGGAUCUGUAAGUCAGUGGUGAAAUCUCACAGCUUAACUGUGAAACUGCCAUUGAUACUGCAGGUCUUGAGUAAAUUUGAAGUGGCUGGAAUAAGUAGUGUAGCGGUGAAAUGCAUAGAUAUUACUUAGAACACCAAUUGCGAAGGCAGGUCACUAAGAUUUAACUGACGCUGAUGGACGAAAGCGUGGGGAGCGAACAGGAUUAGAUACCCGCGUAGUCCCUGUCUCUUAUAC